AUGAGGAAGUUGUUGACGCAAGACUACGUGAGCGCACUUACAUACGAGCACUUACUUGCAGGGUCGGUGACCAUGUCCUUCACGCUGUCAAGCCUGGUGUACCUUGUGGCGAUGUACCCCGAGGUAGAGGAGAAGCUACUCAAGGAGAUUGACGCUUUUGGGCCCAAAGAUGUGGUACCCAAUGUUGAGGACAUCCAGACCAAAUUCCCUUAUAUGGAGCAGGUUUUGAAAGAGACGAUGAGAUUCUACACUGUGUCCCCGCUGAUUGCAAGGGAGGCAUCCGAGGAUGUCCAGAUUGGAGGCUAUGUCCGUCCUAAGGGUACUUGGGCGUGGCUAGCACCGGGCGUACUAGCAAAAGAACCAAAGCAGUUCCCAGACCCCGACGUGUUUCGGCCUGAGCGGUUUGACCCUGAGAGCGAGGAAUGCAAGCGAAGGCAUCCCUAUGCAUUCAUUCCCUUUGGUAUUGGACCCCGGGCAUGCAUUGGGCAGAAGUUCGCGUUCCAGCAGCUCAAGCUCGUCAUCCUCCACCUCUACCGCCACCACGUCUUCAGGCACUUGCCCAACAUGGAAUGCCCGCUGCAGUUCCAGUAUUCCAUCUUGGUCAACUUCAAGCAUGGUGUCAAGCUCCAGGUCAUCGAAAGGAAGACUUGA
This 651-nucleotide ribosomal RNA is filed under the name Triticum aestivum (bread wheat). Its description in RNAcentral is "partial small subunit ribosomal RNA". The record is from RNAcentral. Lineage: Eukaryota; Viridiplantae; Streptophyta; Magnoliopsida; Poales; Poaceae.